UUUCAGGUGGUGAACUUCUCCUGGAUUCGCCCGGAGAAUUGCCUGUCGGAUUUUGUACAGUAUACCUCUCCUGCCACGCUCCGGCCGGAAAUGUUCUGUCUCGAGGAAAGAGGGGACAAUGAUGGAGACUCUUGCCAUCUUGCAGCUCAGGAAAGAAGAGAGGGAAGGACCUGAACCAGCCAAUAAUUACACUAAAUGAGGUAAAAAAAUUCAAUUACCUGGACUUGAAAGGUAAGAAGUUUUUCUUUUCCCUUUGAUACACAGAUUUUUCUCAUUUAGGCCUGAUCUAAAAACCUCAUAUAUUAGACACCCCACCACAUUCCCCAUUUAUCUUAUACCUCAUCACUUGCCUUAGUAUCUGCAAUUUGUGGUUAGGUUGCUAUUUCUUAUAAGUGGCUCUCCACUCAGGUGGGGAGAGUGCCCCAUUCCCCCCAGUGCCCCUUCCCAGUCACCAGUCUGCCCCACACGGCUGUGGGAAUUAGCCAGGGCUACCAGGCUGCGGUGAAAAUAGGGGGACUCUCUCCAGCUCGGGGCUUCUGGCUAGAAAUUAGACUGUAUGCUCCUUGUGGGCAGGGAAUGUGUCUGUUUAGUGUUAUAUUGUACUCUCCCAAGUGCUUAAUACAGUGCUUUGUACACAGUGAGCACUCAAUAAAUACAAUGAAAUGAACGAAUGCAUGAAUGAAAGUUUUGGGCAGGAAACGUGUCCACCAAGUCUGUUAUACUCUACUCUUCUAAACAGUAAAUACAGUGGUCUGCGCACAAUUAGCGCUCAAUAAAUAUGAUUGAUUGAGGAAGACCUUCCAAGAUAAACUCAAAGAGUAUUCAGGAAGAAGAUUGAGGUGCCACCACCCUGAGGCUCCUUGCACUAGAUAACCUGCAUUGCUCUCUGGUAACACUGCUUUCCCUGAGGGAGCCCAAGAGGCCAAGAAGAAGCUGCUCAACACUUCACCUUGGACUCGAGGACCUUCUCAAUCCCUCAAAAAUGGACCUUCACUCCUUUGAGACUACAGAUUGCCAGGUACCCCCUCCUCCUGCUCCCCUUCCUCCUCCUGCUCCUCCUCCUCAUAAUAAUAGUAAUAAUAAUAGCAAUAAAGAUGGUAUUUAAGUGCUUACUAUGUGUAAAGCACUUUUCUCAGUGCUGGAGUAGGCACAAGCUAAUCAGGUUGGAGACAGUUCCUGUCCCACAUGAGGCUCAUAGUCUUAAUCCGCAUUUUACAGAUGAGACAACUGAGGCACAGAGAAGUGAAGUGACUAGCCCAAGGUUGAC
This 1267-nucleotide long non-coding RNA is filed under the name Ornithorhynchus anatinus (platypus). Its description in RNAcentral is "lncRNA (ENSOANG00000042186.1)". The record is from RNAcentral. Lineage: Eukaryota; Metazoa; Chordata; Mammalia; Monotremata; Ornithorhynchidae.